UAAGGAAUAUUGGUCAAUGGACGCAAGUCUGAACCAGCCAUGCCGCGUGAAGGAUGAAGGUCCUCUGGAUUGUAAACUUCUUUUAUCUGGGACGAAAACGGGAUUUUUAUCUUAAUUGACGGUACCAGAGGAAUAAGCACCGGCUAACUCCAUGCCAGCAGCCGCGGUAAUACGGAGGGUGCGAGCGUUAUCCGGAUUUACUGGGUUUAAAGGGUGCGUAGGUGGGCUUAUAAGUCAGUGGUGAAAUCUCCGAGCUUAACUUGGAAACUGCCGUUGAUACUAUAGGUCUUGAAUUAUCUGGAGGUAAGCGGAAUAUGUCAUGUAGCGGUGAAAUGCUUAGAUAUGACAUAGAACACCAAUUGCGAAGGCAGCUUACUACAUAUAAAUUGACGCUGAGGCACGAAAGCGUGGGGAUCAAACA
This 421-nucleotide ribosomal RNA is filed under the name uncultured bacterium. RNAcentral's name for it is "bacterial SSU rRNA". It matches the Rfam family "Bacterial small subunit ribosomal RNA", at positions 355 to 774 of the family's 1533-position model. The record is from RNAcentral.